UAGUCCACGCUGUAAACGAUGAUUACUCGAUAUUGGCUUUUAGUCAGUGUCCAAGCGAAAGCGUUAAGUAAUCCACCUGGGGAGUACGUUCGCAAGAAUGGAACUCAAAGGAAUUGACGGGGGCCCGCACAAGCGGUGGAGCAUGUGGUUUAAUUCGAUGAUACGCGAGGAACCUUACCAGGGCUUAAAUGCAGAACGACAGAGGUGGAAACACCUCCUUCUUCGGACGGUCUGCAAGGUGCUGCAUGGUUGUCGUCAGCUCGUGCCGUGAGGUGUCGGGUUAAGUCCCAUAACGAGCGCAACCCCUAUUUCUAGUUGCCAGCGGAUAAUGUCGGGAACUCUAGCAAGACUGCCGGUGCAAACCGCGAGGAAGGUGGGGAUGACGUCAAAUCAUCACGGCCCUUACGUCCUGGGCCACACACGUGCUACAAUGGUAGGUACAGAGAGCAGCCACUGCGUGAGCAGGAGCGAAUCUAUAAAACCUACCUCAGUUCGGAUCGGAGU
Molecule: ribosomal RNA, 504 nt
Filed under: uncultured bacterium
Lineage: Bacteria
Description: bacterial SSU rRNA
Rfam family: Bacterial small subunit ribosomal RNA
Source: RNAcentral